CCUACGGGAGGCACCAGUGGGGAAUAUUGCACAAUGGGCGCAAGCCUGAUCCAGCCAUACCGCGUGAGUGAAGAAGGCCUUAGGGUUAUAAAGCUCUUUCACCGGUGAAGAUAAUGACGGUAAUCGGAGAAGAAGCCCCGGCUAACUUCGUGCCAGCAGCCGCGGUAAUACGAAGGGGGCUAGCGUUGUUCGGAAUUACUGGGCGUAAAGCGCGCGUAGGCGGAUAGAUAAGUCAGAGGUGAAAUCCCGGGGCUCAACCCCGGAAUUGCCUUUGAUACUGUUUAUCUUGAGUGCAGAAGAGGUAAGUGGAAUUCCGAGUGUAGAGGUGAAAUUCGUAGAUGUUCGGAGGAACACCAGUGGCGAAGGCGGCUUACUGGUCUGCAACUGACGCUGAGGCGCGAAAGCGUGGGGAGCAAACAGGAUUAGAUACCCGAGUAGUC
RNAcentral lists this ribosomal RNA (440 nucleotides) under uncultured bacterium. RNAcentral's name for it is "bacterial SSU rRNA". It matches the Rfam family "Bacterial small subunit ribosomal RNA", at positions 338 to 795 of the family's 1533-position model. The record is from RNAcentral.